CUUCUAUAGGAAAGUAGCAAUCCGUUGGUUUUAGGUACC
RNAcentral lists this transfer RNA (39 nucleotides) under Podarcis filfolensis (Filfola wall lizard). RNAcentral describes it as "partial tRNA-Leu". Lineage: Eukaryota; Metazoa; Chordata; Lepidosauria; Squamata; Lacertidae. The record is from RNAcentral.